RNAcentral lists this ribosomal RNA (252 nucleotides) under uncultured bacterium. RNAcentral describes it as "partial 16S ribosomal RNA". It matches the Rfam family "Bacterial small subunit ribosomal RNA", at positions 524 to 776 of the family's 1533-position model. The record is from RNAcentral.
UACGGGGGGGCAAGCGUUGUUCGGAAUUACUGGGCGUAAAGGGCUCGUAGGCGGCCAACUAAGUCAGACGUGAAAUCCCUCGGCUUAACCGGGGAACUGCGUCUGAUACUGGAUGGCUUGAGUUUGGGAGAGGGAUGCGGAAUUCCAGGUGUAGCGGUGAAAUGCGUAGAUAUCAGGAGGAACACCGGUGGCGAAGGCGGGUCUCUGGGCCAAUACUGACGCUGAGGAGCGAAAGCGUGGGGAGCGAACAGG